GACCUAGGAGUCACUUCCUAGCUAUACUACAUUUCUCAUAUGCAAUCAAAUUUGUAUGUGCCACGACACCCAUCAACGUUGUAGAGGGCUUAAGUGAUUUUAAAAAUUGAGCUUAGCUUUCUUAGCCCAUUGCACGAUUUUAUUACCCCUUAGUGUUCGCCCAAGCGUCCACCAGCAGCCCCUACUCUCUUUUUCUCUUUCAAACACUCUUCUAAGCACUUUCCUCACUUCUCCCACCAUCCCACUUCUAGAAAACCCAUUCUUCAUCACUUUUGCACCAUUCCACCAUCAAAGUUUGGGGUUUUCUUGAGAAUGUUGCAUUUGGGCUUCAUUCAUCAUCAACUUACAAGCAUUUUGCACACAUUCAAAGUCUCUCCACCCAAGUAAGUCAUACAAUUUUCAUUCU
Molecule: long non-coding RNA, 406 nt
Filed under: Vigna radiata
Lineage: Eukaryota; Viridiplantae; Streptophyta; Magnoliopsida; Fabales; Fabaceae
Description: long non-coding RNA (VRAD_LNC014343)
Source: RNAcentral